Helianthus annuus (common sunflower) is the source of this 921-nucleotide long non-coding RNA. RefSeq lists it as uncharacterized. NCBI's taxonomy places the organism in Eukaryota, Viridiplantae, Streptophyta, Magnoliopsida, Asterales, Asteraceae. The record is from RefSeq and is a predicted model, not a curated record. The transcript is spliced from 2 exons.
AAAUUCAGAGUGUGCUACAUCAGUUAUCUUGUAGGGUCAGUGUCAUCUUAUUGGGUCAGUGUCAUCUUAUUCUUUUUCAGUUUGUAUUAUGUAUUGCCGUUUUACACUACUUGAUCAUGCUAAGUGAAAAGGAAUACUUUCUAUCUUAUUCUGCUUUCUGUAAUAUUUUGUUCCAUUAUUUGGGUGACCUACCAGCUACGAAACAUACAAAUAGUAUGUGUAUGUUUUAUUUUAGUUUUUUUCUUUGUUUUUAGCAGCUUAAUUAUGAUGUUUUUUGAAGGGUGUUUUGGAGGUUGUACAAAUAAUUCUUGCGGUUUAUCCUACUUGAAAAAUUUAUCAUGAGUUAGUAGAUCGAUCUAGAAUCAUUUCCAUGGAAGUUAUGGGUGGAAGCGAUGUUUAAGGUGGACUUGCUGAGUGAUCAUAUUUAAUAUUUAUUGAAAUUGAUUUUGAUUAGUUAGAUGUCUCGUUUAUUGAUUCUCUAACACAAAUUGGCAUCCGGGUUGACUUGCUAAGGCGCUUAUUUUGUAAUGAGUGAACGCGGGCUUGAUUCUAGGUCAAAAGCCGCAUCCCAUGGACUACUAAGAAGAAGCUACCACAUAAUUUUAAGAGCAACAUUUGGUGUAAGAAUUAUCAAGGUAUUAACAUUGAUGCACUAGCGGCAGCAUGGAUGUAAAAAGUUUAAUUGAUCAGUAUGUUAACUACGUUUCGCAUUGUUUGUUUGAAAGUUUAACUGUUAACCACCCAAAUUACAGUUUUCCGCUUUAUUAUUUUGUUUAAUAAAAACAUCAAUCAAAACAUAAAAAUGGGCUAGGGAUGAAACGCAGGGUACAUUUACUAGUUGGUGACAUUUGAGUGUCCAUAUAUUGAAUGUGUACAUGCUGCUAAAGUAUAUAAAAAAGUGACACUUGUAAGUGAUUUAUG